UAUUGAACUGUCAUUUUAGUAUCUGGGAUAUAAAAACAUGGUGUAACUCUCUGCUUGCUUUUGCAUUACAAGCUACAAAACAAGCCUCAAGUGCUGUUGUUAAUUGCAGUUAGUUUUAAUUUGAUGCUUGUUAAUUUGAAUUUCCCCCUUCAAAUGUAUGUUUACAUUUUUAGUAGGGCUAGCUCAAGCGGCUUACGCGAUCCUUUCACCACAAAUAGGUAUCACGCGCGAUUGUCGCAAAGUGCAAUUUACAAUUUUACACAUUAAAUUCCAAAACUUGUCUUCAUGUGCUUUGUCUUGCUUCAAAACCUUCGGUGUCUAGGUAUGUGUACGGUUUGAGUGGCGCGCGUCCAGCGGAGCGGGCAGCGGCAAAGUGGUCUGUGCAGCGUAAACCAGGCCGCUCGUUGCUCACGUAUCGUAUCGUAUCGUUGCAUUUGUAUAACAUAAACGCCGUACGCUCCGCCCAACGGCACUCAGGUCGUACACUAGCAUAAAAAUCUAGUGCUAAAGCUCUGGUUUCCUAGGAUAGCAGUGCUGUCAUUAUGUUUUUAUCCGUAUUAUUUUGUAUGGAGACGGUCGCUAUAUGACGGCACCGCUACCCUAGGAAAACGGAGCUUAAGAGAGAGGCCGGGGUGUAUUUCAAUCGCUUUCCGACCGACAAAUGUCUUGAUUUCAUAGUUGUCUUAAAACUUGUACAUUCAACAAAAAAGGCAAAUGAUUUAUACUAAGUUUGUUGUUGUCUAGAGACAACUGCCACUUCCAUACGUUUGUCCGAUUGUUUGUGUUAGAAUAGCUUUAUUUUUGCAUUCUUAAGUAUAUGGACCAGAAAUGUAACAGUUAUGUUAGUCUUUUGACUAUGAUGCAGUAGUCUUGCACUUAUUUAGACGCUUGUGUUGAAAUUUUGUAGCUGUACGUGAACUUUUACCAAUAUAUAAAUUCAUUAGUUUUUGGUAAAUUUUGGAUGUUAUCCCAUUCAUUCUGGUUGAAGAUGGGUAUUUCUUAUAUGGCCAUAUUUUAUAAUGUGUAAACUUCUCAACCUUAUUACUCAAAUAUAAAGUCUUUAAUACAUAGGUACAUAUUAUUAAUAUGGUCAUCAUGAUCACACGGAGUGGGUCAAAGACUGGUACUGAACAUAGGUAAAGGAGGAAUGUUGAUAACUGCAAGUUAUGCUCACAGUUUAUGCUUCUUUUGAAGUAAUAGUGGAUAAUGUUAGUAAAAAGAAGGUUGAUUAUAUUUAAAGUUUUGUGUUACUUUAGUGAACACAUUGCAUGCACAUUUUCAACAGAAGAUUUCGAGAAGUUGUCCUAAAAGUUUCACAUGAAGCUAGUUAACAGUUGAGUUUAAUUCGAACUCUAUGGUUUUUAGCUUUUUUUCGAUUCAAAGUUGUCUGUUAUUUAUAAUAGAUUUGUAAUUAAUGUAAUUAUCUAUCAGUUCCAUAUUAAGGCACAUUGAUAGCGCCCCUCUUAAUUUUGAUGCUAGUGAUUAUCUUUAGAUAAUUCCUACCUUGUCUGGUUAGAAAAGGUGCGACUGAAUAUAAACUGCGGGCCAGGAACGGAUUUCCAUGGCCAAUCGCCUCCCGGGCGAAAACUCGUAUAGUGAUUAACGGCUAUGUAUGAUGAACCCUUGUGAACGUCAGCUGCCGCUCCGUUGGUGGGUUGAGGAAUCGCAGCAAAUAGUCUAUAAAUUUUUUUGUCAUCGCCUCCCUUUGUCAGAUGAUAGUUUAGAUUUUAGAUGCUAUUGUUAAUAAAACAAAUCGUCAGCCGGUUGUAUCGCGGUGGAAAGACCGUGUUACGCGUUUCGGUAGCUGCUAUUCCUUAACCCACCAACGGAGCAGCAGCUGACGUUCACGAGGGUUCAUCAUACCUAGCCGUUAACCGCUAUACGAGUUUUCGCCCGGGAGACGAUGACUGACGAAAUUUGCGCCUGGCUCGCGGUCUAAUAGGACACUUGGGUUUUGCGGAAGAGUCAACUCUUGGCGGUUGAUGGUUACGAGUAAAGCAUUCAUUAUUAUAGAGUUUUUAUAAUUUUAUAUAUAAUAUACGUAUAAUAGCUAGAUUUAAAACUGAACAAAUGUUACUUAUUUUUGUGUUAAAGUUGCAUUGACUGGUUCUAUGUGAUUUAUACCUUUUGUUAUGAUCCCUUUGGUUUGCUAAAAAUGCGAGUAGUGUGUCUUUUAAUUGAUAUUGAAAAUUGCCUUUUUGAUGUUAGUUAACGAAAUUGAUAAUGCUAAAGCUAUAAAAAAAUGUAAGUAGGUACUUAGUGUUAAGGUUAGGUGUCUGGGAGACAAAAAGGAACGUGGGUUGCGGUAAUAAAAAAUGUUUUCUUUUAUAGCAAAGAAUUAUUGAAUGUAGAAAAUCUAAUAAAAAUCGUGCUUUUAAUUUGAUAUUUAUGGCAAUGUACAGUCGCCAUCAGAUAUAUCGGAGCGGCCGAGGUGCUCAAAAAUAUCUGAACACGCACUCUUAACACCUUGACAAUAGAGGCGUGUUCAGAUAUUUGUGAGCGCAUUGGCCGUUUCGAUAUAUUGCGACUGUACAGCUCUAUACAAGCAGGGACCGUUACCAGUAUAACUAAAUAAAAAUAUCUCAUAGCAUUCACAAUAUUUUUUUGAUAUUCUAGAAUAGGUAGUGAUGAAUAGGUGAUGAAUACCGGUUAAUUUGUAUGAAAAAUAUACCGGUAGGUGUUUGGUCCCUGCGUACUAGUACGUACAAUCAUGCCGUAGUCUGGCUGUCAGAAGUUUACCAAACAUUUUUCAGCGCCAGCUACUUGAGCUGGCAAACUCGACAAGAUACUUACACCUUACUACUUACUUAGUUAGUUACUCCUCUACAUCUACCAUAGUCUAUAACUCUUUGAUUGAUUGUAAUCGGGCUUGGACCCCUGAUUUGUUACUUUUGGUCGUAGUUUGUGUUACAAGUACUGAUGUGCCGUCGAAAUGUUUCCAAAAUUACGAAAUUUCCACACGGAAAAAUCUCGGAAACUUCUCAUAUUUUUGUAUGAGAAUCAAAAAUUUUCCAUUUCCAAAAUGAAUGUUUCCUGUUUAAUUUUUCUGAUAUUUCCGGGAACUUUUCCAACUGUUUGGAAACUUACCGCAACUUCCACAUCUGUAGCUACAAGCGAUAACAUCUUUCUGACUUCUUCUAGAAGCUACCACUUGUAUGACACUUGUACCCCUUGUAGAGUUAUAAGCAAGGAGCGGAAUUCUCAUAGCAAAAAUCAAUUGUCAAGAGGAAUUGAGGGAUUGGGAUUGUUUUAUCGACUAUCGAUAAAUAUUUGUCACUUAACACGACAUCGUUUAAGUAAUGAAAUUAGACUUUUGGAUUAGCAAAAUAAUGGAUAAAACAGAAAAUAUAUUCAUUUUAUGCUCAAAUGUUACAAAAUAAUGUAAAAGGGUGGUGGUCGGUAAUAUGCGAAAACAUCGAUAACUGGAAUUGUCGAUCUUGAAAUUUGAUUUCUGCAAUGAGAAUUCCGCUCCUUGGUUAUCAGGUUGAUACUACACUCGGGUGUGGUCGUCUCUCGGGCCGCCGAGCGGGGAGUUGCCGGCUUGCUUCAAGCAAUUUGUACUGUAAGAAACUCCAAAGUACCUCUUUAUUUAUAUUCUAAUGUCUAAUAAAAUAUGUAACAUUAUAUAA
Cydia strobilella is the source of this 3629-nucleotide long non-coding RNA. RefSeq lists it as uncharacterized. The record is from RefSeq and is a predicted model, not a curated record. The transcript has 2 exons. NCBI's taxonomy places the organism in Eukaryota, Metazoa, Arthropoda, Insecta, Lepidoptera, Tortricidae.